UACGUAGGGUGCGAGCGUUGUCCGGAAUUAUUGGGCGUAAAGAGCUCGUAGGCGGUGUGUCACGUCGAUCGUGAAAACUUACAGCUUAACUGUGAGCGUGCGGUCGAUACGGGCAUCACUGGAGUUCGGCAGGGGAGACUGGAAUUCCUGGUGUAGCGGUGAAAUGCGCAGAUAUCAGGAGGAACACCGAUGGCGAAGGCAGGUCUCUGGGCAUUAACUGACGCUGAGGAGCGAAAGCAUGGGGAGCGAACAGG
RNAcentral lists this ribosomal RNA (254 nucleotides) under uncultured bacterium. RNAcentral's name for it is "partial 16S ribosomal RNA". It matches the Rfam family "Bacterial small subunit ribosomal RNA", at positions 524 to 776 of the family's 1533-position model. The record is from RNAcentral.